This 324-nucleotide ribosomal RNA is filed under the name uncultured eukaryote. RNAcentral's name for it is "partial 18S ribosomal RNA". It matches the Rfam family "Eukaryotic small subunit ribosomal RNA", at positions 1470 to 1796 of the family's 1831-position model. The record is from RNAcentral.
CCCUUAGAUGCUCUGGGCCGCACGCGCGCUACACUGGUCGAUGCAACGAGUUUCUUUCCUUGGCCGACAGGCCUGGGCAAUCUUUGAACAUCGAUCGUGAUCGGGAUAGAUUCUUGUAAUUUUUGAUCUUAAACGAGGAAUUCCUAGUAAACGCAAGUCAUCAGCUUGCAUUGAUUACGUCCCUGCCCUUUGUACACACCGCCCGUCGCACCUACCGAUUGAAUUGUCCGGUGAAAUCUCCGGACUGGCGUGAGUCGGAGCAAUCUGACAAACACCGGAAAGUUGAUUAAACCUUACCAUUUAGAGGAAGGUGAAGUCGUAACA